This is a non-coding RNA of Glossina pallidipes, 72 nucleotides long. The record is from Rfam. NCBI's taxonomy places the organism in Eukaryota, Metazoa, Arthropoda, Insecta, Diptera, Glossinidae.
UACCGUAUGGUCUAGUGGUUAGGACGUUCGACACUCAGUCGAAAGACUCAGGUUCGAUUCCUGAUACGACAU